Molecule: ribosomal RNA, 229 nt
Filed under: uncultured bacterium
Lineage: Bacteria
Description: partial 16S ribosomal RNA
Rfam family: Bacterial small subunit ribosomal RNA
Source: RNAcentral
UCUGUAGAGGGUUUGAUGUGUCUUUUGUUAAAUUCCAAUGCUCACCAUUGGCAAUGCAGAGGAAACUAUCAGACUAGAGGAUAUGAGAGGCUGUUGGAACUCAGAGAGUAGGGGUGAAAUCCGUUGAUACUCUGGGGAACACCAAAGGCGAAGGCAUUCAGCUGGCAUAUUCCUGACCUUGAGAGACGAAAGCGUGGGUAGCAAACAGGAUUAGAUACCCUGGUAGUCC